UUUGGACUCGCGUCCUGCAUUUGGGUCCUCCAACCUGCUUCACCACACAAACCCGUGACAGACAUGGUAUACUUAAAGGGCAAAAACAAAUGGGAUUUCUGGCACAGUAUAUUCCAAAAAUGUAAAACCUUAACCAAUGGCAAAAUUUAAUGCCAGAAUCUGACCUGACAGCAAAUGUGUGCAAAAUGCGUCUGACAUACACCACAGCUGGCGUCAAAUUUCAAGCCUGAAUAUGCAUAAUCAUGUUGAGAUGGGUGUUAGUGAACAGCUGAGCUUUCUGCCUUGGAUGCAAACCAUCCAGGCACAUUCUCUCUCUGGAUCAUUGUUGAAGGGACUCUAGAUGUCAUAUAUGAAAUUCCCAAUUCUGAACUCAAUUUAUCUACUAUUGGCAGAAUGGGACAUUAAUAGAUAACUGACCGCAAAUAGAAAAAUGUCUUUUUCAUUACAUUUGUCAUGAGAGUUUGAAAUCUUGCAAGAGUUUGGCAUUUAUUGUGACUGAGAAAUUUUCCGCUACAAAACAAAGACACAGUGGCCUGAGCCUAAGGGAGCUUUAACACUGAUACUAGCUCUGCAGUAGAUUCCAGGCUUCCCCAUUAAUUUCAAUUCCAGACCAUUCCAGUAGAGCAAAGGCAAUGGCCCGUGGCAGUGGCCUGUAACCCAACCCCCCUCAAAAGAAAGUGUCCUGCAUUAAAUAAAAAAAUACUGGUUCUGUCUUUUCUUUUUGCCUGGUUUACCUUAAGAUCAUUUUGGUACUUUUCAGCAUUGUAUUAAUAUAGUUAUUAGUUUGCUGUUACCUCGCAGGCAUCACGAUGGAGGAGAAAAUCAUUUGCGCCAUGAUUAACUUUUCACAGAUGCACAUUGAAACCAGCCUCAAAGGAGUACAUCCCACGUGUGUGUUGGCAUUUCAUAAACAGAGUAAUUCUGAUGACAGACUGCAGUACAGGGUGAGUGACCUGUGCUGAAGACUCAUCCAAGAUUCAAGGCUGGAAAUAUUAUUGCCUGUCUGUGUGCUGUUCAAUGAUUCAUCAUCAGGUAUCCAAAACCAGCAUACUCAAUAAAUAGCACAUAACAAGCUGCAGAUAAGAAUAAGAUACAUUUUAUUAUUGCCAUAUGGGUGAGGUAAUAAGCAUUAGAUCCAUAUCAAAAAACAUAUUUUUUCACUUACACCUCAGUGGUAGCUAGCCAGUUUCAGCUGUAUAUGUCCUAUGGUUUUGAAUUAUCUGCCUCUGAAUCCUUAGCCAUCUUUUCCAUUUCACAGUUCCACAGUGAGUUCUGUGAAUUAUCCUGAUUUGUAAAAUCCUAUAUCGUGUUAGUUGUGAUAUAUUUUUAACAAUCAGUCAUAUAAAAUCCAAAGCUUCAGUCAACAAGAUUCUGUUUUGUACUUGCUGAUGAUUACCCCUGGUGAUAUAAAGAUAUACGAUACA
Long non-coding RNA from Micropterus salmoides (largemouth bass), 1424 nucleotides. RefSeq lists it as uncharacterized. The transcript has 2 exons. Lineage: Eukaryota; Metazoa; Chordata; Actinopteri; Centrarchiformes; Centrarchidae. The record is from RefSeq and is a predicted model, not a curated record.